This 659-nucleotide ribosomal RNA is filed under the name uncultured bacterium. RNAcentral's name for it is "bacterial SSU rRNA". It matches the Rfam family "Bacterial small subunit ribosomal RNA", at positions 59 to 703 of the family's 1533-position model. The record is from RNAcentral.
CAGUCGAGCGACAUUUGAGAGCUUGCUCUCAAUGUUAGCGGCGGACGGGUGAGUAACACGUGGGCAACCUGCCUAUAAGACUGGGAUAACUUCGGGAAACCGGAGCUAAUACCGGAUAAUUCACAUCUACUCAUGUAGAUGUGCUGAAAGACGGUUUACGCUGUCACUUAUAGAUGGGCCCGCGGCGCAUUAGCUAGUUGGUGAGGUAACGGCUCACCAAGGCCACGAUGCGUAGCCGACCUGAGAGGGUGAUCGGCCACACUGGGACUGAGACACGGCCCAGACUCCUACGGGAGGCAGCAGUAGGGAAUCUUCCGCAAUGGACGAAAGUCUGACGGAGCAACGCCGCGUGAGUGAUGAAGGUUUUCGGAUCGUAAAACUCUGUUGUUAGGGAAGAACAAGUACCAGAGUAACUGCUGGUACCUUGACGGUACCUAACCAGAAAGCCACGGCUAACUACGUGCCAGCAGCCGCGGUAAUACGUAGGUGGCAAGCGUUGUCCGGAAUUAUUGGGCGUAAAGCGCGCGCAGGCGGCCCUUUAAGUCUGAUGUGAAAGCCCACGGCUCAACCGUGGAGGGUCAUUGGAAACUGGGGGACUUGAGUACAGAAGAGAAGAGUGGAAUUCCACGUGUAGCGGUGAAAUGCGUAGAGAUGUGGAG